GCUACCAUGCAGUCGAGCGGGAUUUACCGGUUUAGUUUACUAAACUGGUAAAUUCAGCGGCGGACGGGUGAGUAACGCGUGAGCAAUCUGCCUUGUACAGGGGGAUAACAGCCGGAAACGGCUGCUAAUACCGCAUAAGGCCACAGUACCGCAUGGUACAGGGGUCAAAGGAGAGAUCCGGUAUAAGAUGAGCUCGCGUUCCAUUAGCUGGUUGGUGAGGUAACGGCCCACCAAGGCGACGAUGGGUAGCCGGCCUGAGAGGGUGAACGGCCACAUUGGGACUGAGACACGGCCCAAACUCCUACGGGAGGCAGCAGUGGGGGAUAUUGCGCAAUGGGGGAAACCCUGACGCAGCAACGCCGCGUGAGUGAAGGAGGCCUUCGGGUCGUAAAACUCUGUGACAGGGGAAGAAGAAAGUGACGGUACCCUGAGAGGAAGCCCCGGCUAACUACGUGCCAGCGGCCGCGGUAAUACGUAGGGGGCAAGCGUUGUCCGGAAUUACUGGGCGUAAAGGGUGCGUAGGCAGCCAGGCAAGUCCGAUGUGAAAUACCACGACUAAACUGUGGGGGUGCAUAGGAAACUGUCUGGCUUGAGUGCAGGAGAGGAAAGUGGAAUUCCUGGUGUAGCGGUGAAAUGCGUAGAGAUCAGGAAGAACACCAGUGGCGAAGGCGACUUUCUGGGCUGUAACUGACGCUGAGGCACGAAAGCGUGGGGAGCAAACAGGAUUAGGUACCCUGGUAGU
RNAcentral lists this ribosomal RNA (742 nucleotides) under uncultured bacterium. RNAcentral describes it as "bacterial SSU rRNA". It matches the Rfam family "Bacterial small subunit ribosomal RNA", at positions 48 to 794 of the family's 1533-position model. The record is from RNAcentral.